UUAGCGAACUCGACGUAGUGAAGCAUUCAAGUUUCUGCCCUAUCAGCUUUCGAUGGUAGUGUA
This 63-nucleotide ribosomal RNA is filed under the name Blepharisma stoltei. The record is from RNAcentral. Lineage: Eukaryota; Ciliophora; Heterotrichea; Heterotrichida; Blepharismidae.